This 254-nucleotide ribosomal RNA is filed under the name uncultured bacterium. RNAcentral's name for it is "partial 16S ribosomal RNA". It matches the Rfam family "Bacterial small subunit ribosomal RNA", at positions 524 to 776 of the family's 1533-position model. The record is from RNAcentral.
AACGUAGGAGGCAAGCGUUAUCCGGAGUUACUGGGCGUAAAGCGCGUGUAGGCGGUUGAGUAGGUCAGGUGUGAAAGCUCCCAGGCUAAACCGGGAGAGGUCACUUGAAACCACUCAGCUAGAGUACGAUAGAAGGGUGUAGAAUUCCGGGUGUAGUGGUGAAAUGCGCAGAUAUCCGGAGGAAUACCAGUGGCGAAAGCGGCACCCUAGGUCGAAACUGACGCUGAGACGCGAAAGCAUGGGGAGCGAACGGG